This 460-nucleotide ribosomal RNA is filed under the name Euxanthus huonii. RNAcentral's name for it is "partial 16S ribosomal RNA". It matches the Rfam family "Bacterial large subunit ribosomal RNA", at positions 1951 to 2613 of the family's 2925-position model. The record is from RNAcentral. Lineage: Eukaryota; Metazoa; Arthropoda; Malacostraca; Decapoda; Xanthidae.
CAAAGGUAGCAUAAUCAUUAGGGGUUUAAUUGGGACCUGGAAUGAAGGGUUGGACAAAAGAAGGACUGUCUUUAUAGUAAAAGUUGAAGUUUACCUUUAAGUGAAAAGGCUUAAAUGUUUCAGAGGGACGAUAAGACCCUAUAAAGCUUUAUAAAUAAUUUAGAUUUAAUUGAUUUAUGAAGUAAAAGUUGAGUUUAAUUAUUUUAUUUUGUUGGGGUGAUGUGAGUAUAAUUGAUGUUAACUGCUUAUAAGAGAUACUAUAAUAUUAGAAUUAUAAAUAAUGAUCCUUUUUAAAGAUUAAAAGACUAAGUUACUUUAGGGAUAACAGCGUUAUUUCUUUUGAGAGUUCAUAUCGAAAAAGGAGAUUGCGACCUCGAUGUUGAAUUAAAAUAUCUAUAUAAUGCAGCCGUUAUAAAAGAGGGUCUGUUCGACCUUUAAAUUUUUACAUGAUUUGAGUUCA